UCAGAGGAAUUUGUCUUUUUAUCGUCAUUACCCGAUUAUUUUCACUUUUUUUCAUUUUCUAUAUCGCCGUCUUAAGAUUAAAUUUCAAAGUUUAAUCUCNAACUCUUUUGAUAAGUCAGGUCNAGGUGGAGAUUAUAAAAAAGNCUNGAUUAAUUAUAAAUAAACAAUAUUUAAGGUCAUUUUUCUNAAGAGAUUAUAAAUUAAGAUUUGAAAGUAGUUUUUUAUUAAGAAUUUAAAAUGAACUUUGCUUUAGGUGUACAUAUCGCCCGUCACCCUCGUCCAAAGAUGAGGUAAGUCGUAACAUAGUUAGUGUACUGGAAAGUGCACUAAGGGAGAUUAUAAGCUUUAGCGUUUCAUUUACACAGAAAAGAAUGUUUACAAAAUUUACCUAUUUGUUUAUUAUUUAAAAUAAUAUUUAUAAGAUUUUAAUUCUAAUUUCUUUUUUAUUACCGUGAGGGUAAAAGAAUUGGUUCAAAGAAAUUAUUAUUUACCUUUUGUAUCAGGGUGUCUCAAAUCCCCCCUUUAAAAAGAUUCUCCCGAAAUAAAAUGAGCUACUUUAUUUAUCAUAUUUUAUAGCAAAAAAAUAGUAAAUAUUCAGUAGAAGUGAAAUUCUAUCCGUAUUUUUUUAUAUCUGGUUUUUUCAGAGAGUAAUAUUACUUAAAUUUAAAAAGGGACAAUCUUUUUUAAUUAUUCUAUUCUCUAAUUCUUUAUUAUUUUAGGAUUAGUAGUGUCUUUUUGUGUAAAAACUUCAUUUAUUAUUUUCAAUAAAUUNUAUUAUGAAAUUUAAAUCUUUUUAUAAAAAUAAUGAUUCAAUCAGUAAAGAUUGAUUUUAAUUAAUAAAUUAAAUUUUUCAAAUUAACUCUUUAAAUUUUUAUUCAUAAACUCGGCUAAGUUUUCUGACUGUUUACCAAAAACAUUUCUGAAUGCUAUUUCUUUUCAGUAAGACCUGCUCAAUGAUCUUUAAAUAGCCGCAAUUUUGUGCUAAGGUAGCAUAAUCACUUGCCUUAUAAUUUAAGGCUAGAAUGAAAGGUUUAACAUGAUAACUUCUUUAUAAAUAAGAAUUCUUGAAUUUUACUUAUAAGUAAAAAGGCUUAUAUUCUUUAGGAGGACGACAAGACCCUGACGAGCUUUACUUACUUAGUUGCACUGGGGUGGUAAAAAACUAAAUCUUUAUUUCUCCUUUUCUCUUUAGCCUUUUUAUAAGAUACCAAGUUACCGCAGGGAUAACAGCAUAAUUUUUUUCUAGAGACCUUAUCUAAAAGAAAGAUUGUGACCUCGAUGUUGAAUUAAUU
This 1292-nucleotide ribosomal RNA is filed under the name Myrmekiaphila fluviatilis. Its description in RNAcentral is "partial 16S large subunit ribosomal RNA". Lineage: Eukaryota; Metazoa; Arthropoda; Arachnida; Araneae; Euctenizidae. The record is from RNAcentral.